This 468-nucleotide ribosomal RNA is filed under the name uncultured bacterium. RNAcentral describes it as "partial 16S ribosomal RNA". It matches the Rfam family "Bacterial small subunit ribosomal RNA", at positions 28 to 507 of the family's 1533-position model. The record is from RNAcentral.
GACGAACGCUGGCGGCGUGCUUAACACAUGCAAGUCGAACGGAAAGGCCCUGCUUUUGUGGGGUGCUCGAGUGGCGAAAGGGUGAGUAACACGUGAGUAACCUGCCCUUGACUUUGGGAUAACUUCAGGAAACUGGGGCUAAUACCGGAUAGGAGCACCUGCUGCAUGGUGGGGGUUGGAAAGUUUCGGCGGUUGGGGAUGGACUCGCGGCUUAUCAGCUUGUUGGUGGGGUAGUGGCUUACCAAGGCUUUGACGGGUAGCCGGCCUGAGAGGGUGACCGGCCACAUUGGGACUGAGAUACGGCCCAGACUCCUACGGGAGGCAGCGGUGGGGAAUAUUGCACAAUGGGCGGAAGCCUGGUGCAGCAACGCCGCGUGCGGGAUGACGGCCUUCGGGUUGUAAACCGCUUUCGCCUGUGACGAAGCGUGAGUGACGGUAAUGGGUAAAGAAGCACCGGCUAACUACGUG